RNAcentral lists this ribosomal RNA (497 nucleotides) under uncultured bacterium. RNAcentral describes it as "partial 16S ribosomal RNA". It matches the Rfam family "Bacterial small subunit ribosomal RNA", at positions 28 to 507 of the family's 1533-position model. The record is from RNAcentral.
GAUGAACGCUGGCGGCGUGCCUAAUACAUGCAAGUCGAGCGAACAGACCAGGAGCUUGCUCCUCUGACGUUAGCGGCGGACGGGUGAGUAACACGUGGAUAACCUACCUAUAAUACUGGGAUAACUUCGGGAAACCGGAGCUAAUACCAGAUAAUAUAUUGAACCGCAUGGUUCAAUAGUGAAAGACGGUUUUGCUGUCACUUAUAGAUGGAUCCGCGCCGCAUUAGCUAGUUGGUAAGGUAACGGCCUACCAAGGCGACGAUGCGUAGCCGACCUGAGAGGCGGAUCGGCCACACUGGAACUGAGACACGGACCAGACUCCUACGGGAGGCCGCAGUAGGGAAUCUUCCGCAAUGGGCGAAAGCAUGACAGAGCAAAGCCGCGUCAGUGAUGAAGGUGUUCGGAUCGUAAAGCUCUGUUAUGAGGGAAGAACAAAUGUGUCAGGAAAUAUGCACGUCUUGACGGUAAUUAAUCAGAAAGCCACGGCUAACUACGUG